GACGAACGCUGGCGGCGUGCUUAACACAUGCAAGUCGAACGGAAAGGCCCUGCUUUUGUGGGGUGCUCGAGUGGCGAACGGGUGAGUAACACGUGAGUAACCUGCCCUUGACCUUGGGAUAACUUCAGGAAACUGGGGCUAAUACCGGAUAGGAGCUCCUGCUGCAUGGUGGGGGUUGGAAAGUUUCGGCGGUUGGGGAUGGACUCGCGGCUUAUCAGCUUGUUGGUGGGGUAGUGGCUUACCAAGGCUUUGACGGGUAGCCGGCCUGAGAGGGUGACCGGCCACAAUGGGACUGAGAUACGGCCCAGACUCCUACGGGAGGCAGCAGUGGAGAAUAUUGCACAAUGGGCGGAAGCCGGAUGCAGCAACGCCGCGUGCGGGAUGACGGCCUUCGGGUUGUAAACCGCUUUCGCCUGUGACGAAGCGUGAGUGACGGUAAUGGGUAAAGAAGCACCGGCUAACUACGUG
RNAcentral lists this ribosomal RNA (468 nucleotides) under uncultured bacterium. RNAcentral's name for it is "partial 16S ribosomal RNA". It matches the Rfam family "Bacterial small subunit ribosomal RNA", at positions 28 to 507 of the family's 1533-position model. The record is from RNAcentral.